GAUGAACGCUGACAGAAUGCUUAACACAUGCAAGUCUACUUGAUUCUACUUCGGUAGUUGAUGGUGGCGGACGGGUGAGUAACGCGUAAAGAAUCUGCCCUUUAGUUUGGGAUAACCUUUGGAAACGAAGGCUAAUACCGGAUAUUAUGGAGACGUCGCAUGACGACUCCAUGAAAGCUAUAUGCGCUAGAGGAGGACUUUGCGUCCCAUUAGUUAGUUGGUGAGGUAAUGGCUCACCAAGACCGCGAUGGGUAGCCGGCCUGGGAGGGUGAUCGGCCACAAGGGAACUGAGAAACGAGCCGUACUCCAAAGGGAGGCAGCAGUGGGGAAUAUUGGACAAUGGGCCACAAGCCUGAUCCAGCAAUUCUGUGUGCAAGAUGAAGGUCUUCGGAUUGUAAAGUGCUUUCAGUAGGGAAGAAAAAAAUGACGGUACCUACAGAAGAAGCGACGGCUAAAUAUGUGCCAGCAGCCGCCGUAA
This 478-nucleotide ribosomal RNA is filed under the name uncultured bacterium. RNAcentral describes it as "partial 16S ribosomal RNA". It matches the Rfam family "Bacterial small subunit ribosomal RNA", at positions 28 to 523 of the family's 1533-position model. The record is from RNAcentral.